RNAcentral lists this transfer-messenger RNA (86 nucleotides) under Candidatus Poribacteria bacterium. It matches the Rfam family "transfer-messenger RNA". From Rfam's summary of the family: Bacterial tmRNA, also known as 10Sa RNA or SsrA, is named for its dual tRNA and mRNA-like properties. Its role is to liberate the mRNA from a stalled ribosome. The record is from RNAcentral. Lineage: Bacteria; Candidatus Poribacteria.
GGGGGUGAAAGGAUUCGACGGUGGGCGAAAGCGUGGUUGCUUUCAAUUUCCAUCGGAAGUGGGUUCAAUUCCCACCACCUCCAUCU